AGCCUUUACGUCGAGAUCGCGUUUCCGUUUUUAAGAAAAUUUUAGAAAAUAGAUUUUAGCAAUUAAAAAAAUCACAUAACAAAAGAUCUUCAAAUAAUAAUAAUCACAUAAUUACUAAUAAUAAUAGAUGUUAUAUGAUUAAAUUCAAUGUAAAACUCAAAUACAAUACCUAUCCUUCUGGAUAAAAUAAAAACCCUAAAGCAACAAGGACGAGGGAACUCUAUAAAAACAACAGGAAUCACAAGUAAAUCUACGAAUCGUCUGCAGCUUUUUACUGAAUCUCCGAACCUGUGUCACUGAAAGGGUGGAAGAUUUGGGGUGAGAACAAACCACACGUUCUCAAUAGGGAAUGGAAAUGGAAUAAAAUGCAAAUAACUAACUUUACUCAAUAAAAAUAUAUUUUUAUCAAACCCUUUGAAAAUACUCUUGGUUCUACUUUAGAUAAUUAAUUACCUCCUUUUAAAAUCUCUUAACUCAAAACAAAACUUAAAUAUAAAAUUAGUCACACUUUCUGUCUCUCAGCCACAUAUUAAUCCUCAGCCAAAUGUCAACUCGUAAUCACUUUAAUACACUCACAAACAAGUAGUGCAAACAAGAGAUUCAAUUCAAUGUACAAGCAAAUCACAAUAAGACAAACAAUACAAUCACAAAGUAAUAAGACAAGCAAGCGCAAUCAAAUGCAAAUGUGCAAACAACAUGAUGCAUGUCUAUCCCUAACACAGGCCAUGAGCUCAUGUGUCGGUUGCCUACCUGCUCCCGACAUUAUCCGGGCACGAGUCCCAGAUAUGAUUUUCCAGAUGCAUCAGUGUGCUUAUAAGUCGUACGGCCAGGCCGCAUCAGUGUGACUUUAAGUCGUACGGCUAGGCCGCAUCAGUGUGACUUUCCAAAUCAAUAAGCGUACAUCUGAAAAACAGUUCUCAGUGUGUGGGCGUCCCCACUUUACAUUUGGCACUAAGGCCCAAACAAUGUCACAUCUGCUCUCCUGUGGCAGACACUUCAUUAAUUAAUAUAUUCUUUAAAUCCUUGUUCUCUGCUCUCCUGUGGCAGAGAUUCCUUUUCUUAAUAAACCGAGCUCAAAUCUUUACUUAAAACAAAAUCUCUCCUUAAAAGAUUAGGUUUAAAACAUUAUAUUUUUCUUAAUAAAUCAAACUUUAAAAUAGAAUAAAUCUUUUCUUAACUAAAUAUAUUUUAAAUAAUUUAAUUUUUCAGAACCAAAUCUUUUAAAAUAACUUUUCAAACAAAACCUCAGAUUUAAUAAAAUUUCGGCAGCACUUCCCCUAAACUUGGGGUUAGCCACUCUUUUUCGGGUCCCAACUGAACCAUUUUCAACCUCUUUUCAAUCAAGAAAUCAAAUACAUAUUCAUCAAAUUCAGUCACAAACACAACUCAAACUCAUCAUUCAGUCAUUGCAAACAAUCAUAAAUUAUUUAAAAUACCCACUAGACUUUCAUGGCAUUCAUAGUUUAAAAAUAGUUAAUUUCAAAACAAAAUCCCCUACCUUCGUAUGAAAUCAAAAUUAUCGAAAGCUCCGGAGAAGCUUUCUGACCGAGCUGCUGAAGGAGAAAGCGUCAGAAAUCGUCUGUGCUUCCUAGAACUCCAGUUAACCGAACUCAAGGGGUAGGAGAGCUACGUCACCGUCGACUUCCACCAGAAAAAGGUAACACCAUCAUGUAGAAGAGGAGGAUACGAACACUUUUAUCGGAUUAGAUUUUUGAUUAGAGUUACGAAUCACAAGAAAUCAAGACCGGAAGAUCAAAGGAGCUUCGGUUCUCUUUUUUUCUCUCUCGGUCAGUUUUCUUUCUCUUCUUUCCCGUAACAAGUAUG
Molecule: long non-coding RNA, 1824 nt
Filed under: Arachis ipaensis
Lineage: Eukaryota; Viridiplantae; Streptophyta; Magnoliopsida; Fabales; Fabaceae
Description: long non-coding RNA (AIPA_LNC002133)
Source: RNAcentral